This 1422-nucleotide long non-coding RNA is filed under the name Gouania willdenowi (blunt-snouted clingfish). RNAcentral describes it as "lncRNA (ENSGWIG00000012569.1)". The record is from RNAcentral. Lineage: Eukaryota; Metazoa; Chordata; Actinopteri; Blenniiformes; Gobiesocidae.
GCUAGGGGGUGGGGUGAGGGGUGCUAUGGGGCCUCCCCGGGGGUCGUAUUGGGCGGGUGUGCGGGGGCGCGGCGCGUGGUUCCUGGCCCGGUGGAUCCGCGUUGGGAUUGGCUGGUCUGCUGGCUGGGUGCACCGGGCGCCGUGGGCGCGAUUCCGGGGCGGGGGUGCCCCGGGGGCGGAUCCUUGGGCUACGUGUCCGGGGAGGUGCUCUCCGGCCAUCUGCCCGGGGACCGGCCGCGGCUCGUGGCGGCGCUGCGCAGCCUUGGGCGGGGCGGGGCUGGUGGCCUUGGGCCCGCUGUUGUUCGGGGUGUGCUGGCGUCGGGGGGGUGUCUCGUGCCGGUGUGUGGGUCGUCGGGGAUUGCCUCCGUGGGGGGGGGGGGGCUCUAUUGGCGCCGUUGGUGUGGGGGGGCGGUUUCCGGGCUGGGGGUGCUUCGGUACUCUGGCUUGCCGGUCCGUGGCUGGCGGGAUGGCCCUGCUUGGCGGUGGAUGGCGUCCUCUCUCGUCGGGGGGGCCGGGGCCGCCUCCCGGUGGAGAGUGUUGUAUCGUGGCGCCGGGUGGGCCUGUGCUGCCCCUGGUGCGGGCAUGGGCCUCCCCCCUGCUCGGCCGCUCCCCUUGGUGGCGGGGUGGCGUUGCUCCGGGCCGGCGGGCGGCGGGGGUCGCCCCCUGGGGCGCCGGGGGAUGUUGUUGGUGCCUGGCUGUACCCGGGGGUGGGGGGUGUCGCCGUGCUCCGCGGGGCCGGCGCGGUCUGGGGGGUGCCGUGGGGGGGGGUCUCCGGCUGUGCUGUUCCGGGGCCCGCAGUGCCACUUGCCCGUCUGCGCCAUCUACCCUCUCGCGUGGCCCGCCACGCGGACGGGCCCGGCUCACACUGGACAGGCCUCCUACAUGUUCACUUCACCCCACUCCCAGCUGGUCUGGCUCACUCACUAAAUGCACCACACACCAAUACCCAACCCUUGGGGGGCUGGAUGGUGGGGCUGGGGGUGGAGGGGCCCGCCACCUGUGUUACUAUGUAGUGGCGUGGGGGCGGCCCUCCCACCUCUAGUUGCCCUACUAAUCCCUCCAAUUUUAAUCGCAUCUCAACAUGUCACCCCCCGGAGGGUGUAUCAUCAUUUACACCCUCCGGCCUAUUACACCACAUACACAUAAAUCCACAGAGGCUGGAGGGGGAGCACCGCUCCCCUCCAUCCCCCUUCUUUUAAUUACACCCCAUACAUUCACCAAACACACACAUUCACACAGGGGAUCGGGAAGUGCCUCUCCAUUGGGGAAUGGAGAGGCACCAUAACAGGGUGGUGGGUUGGUACACAUAUUUGGGCCUCUCCGGUGGGGGCCUGGCCCCUCUGUUGGUGGCUGGGCCACUGCAUAGAGUAAAAGCACAUCAAGAUGGUGCGGUCGGGCGUGGCGGUGGGUCUCGGGGGGGCU